CCUACGGGAGGCAGCAGUGAGGAAUAUUGGUCAAUGGCCGAGAGGCUGAACCAGCCAAGUCGCGUGAGGGAAGAAUGUCCUAUGGAUUGUAAACCUCUUUUGUCAGGGAGCAAAGUCACCCACGUGUGGCUGUUGGAGAGUACCUGAAGAAAAAGCAUCGGCUAACUCCGUUCCAGCAGCCGCGGUAAUACGGAGGAUGCGAGCGUUAUCCGGAUUUAUUGGGUUUAAAGGGUGCGAAGGCGGUUUAUAAAGUCAGCGGUAAACUCGUGGAGCUCAACUCCAGCCAGCCGUUGAUACUGAUGAUCGUGAGUGGGCGAGAAGUAUGCGGAAUGCGUGGUGUAGCGGUGAAAUGCAUAGAGAUCACGCAGAA
This 370-nucleotide ribosomal RNA is filed under the name uncultured bacterium. RNAcentral's name for it is "partial 16S ribosomal RNA". It matches the Rfam family "Bacterial small subunit ribosomal RNA", at positions 338 to 706 of the family's 1533-position model. The record is from RNAcentral.